AAAGGUUGGAAAAGGGUUUGAUGGAAAGGGAGUUUUAGAACUUUUUUCAUAGAAAUCUAUACGAUUUACUCAUCCUCCAUCUGUAACUACUAGUAUUGAGGAUGAGGGCCUUCUUCAACCACGCCACUCGUUCCGGCCCAAAAACAGAUUGGAAAGCAAGUUGACGUGGACUUUGGUUAUAUAAAAGGCAAAAUUGCUGGACACUGAAAAAAAAAAAAAGAAGAAAGCAACAUUACGCUCUUUUUCUCUCUCCUCACAAACCAAAAUCGGAGCCCCAAAUUCCAAACCCUAAGCAUAAGUCCCCAUCUCCGGCCCCACUUCCAGCCCUUACUGAAGUCAAAGGUUUCGUUGUCGAUCAACCUACCAUAUUCGAUCAUCGUCGAAGCCCUGACCAUCUCUGAUCGCUGGUAUCAUCAAACCAAUAGACCUUGCAACCUGUUGUUAAGCAAUUACUGCCAUCGCCUCAACCAUCGGAGUGCUCCCUGUACAGGCGCCCAACGAAAAAAGUAAACUUUUUUUUCAGUUUUGCCCAGGUAGUAUGGUGUUUAUUUCAUCAAGCAGUGGUAUUCAUUGUGUUCUUCGAUUUCGAAACUUUAUUGAAUUCGUAUAUUUUUUACUUUAUUGAAUUGUGUUUAAAAUGUAUUUGUUGGGUAUUUAUGCCUGUCCAACUAUAUUAAUUAGCAAAUGUUACUACUACUGUAGUGCAGCUGUGAGAGGUCGUUGUGUGUCUCUCUAUAUAUGAAACUAUCUCCCUGCUACAAGUAUGUUAUAUUUUGGGAUUUUUAUCUGUAACGGUGUAUGUAUUUCUGAAUCAGAGGCUCAAGUCAUGUUUUUGUAUUCUCUAUAAUGUUUUCGUUUUAGAUUUCAAUCUCUGUCUCACAAUUCAGAGCCCCAAGUCAUGUAUUUGCAAUAGUGGUAAAUUUUGGAACUAUAUUGAAUUGGUGGACUGGUGACUAUAUUGAAUUGUGUGUAAACUAUAUUUGUUGGGUAUUUGCAAUAGUGGUAAAUUUUGGAACUAUAUUGAGUUGGUGGAUUAUUGAUUAUAUUGAAUUGUGUUUAAACUAUAUUUGUUGGGUAUUUGUAUUAAUGCAUUUAUUUUAGAACUAUAUUGAAUUGGUGGACUGGUGACUUUACUUUUGUUGUUGGCAGUUGAGAUGGGUUGUUUGAUAGAUUUAAGUGGGGGUUUUAUUGUGUUUAAUCAGAUGUGAUUAGAUGUAUCCUUCAUACUCAAAAUGUACUAGUGAAGUAAAACUAUAUUUGGAAUGCCCGGGAGGAACUCCGAAAUUUGUCAUGGUAGUAGAGCUAAAGAUUACUUCUUUGCCGAGUGCAAAAAGAAAUGCCCUUGCACACCAUGAAAGCUUGGAUUUCGAGAAAUAUUUUGUUGUGGAAAAGGAGACUAACAAAAAAGGACAAUUAUUCCUUUGCUGCAGUAACAAUUGUGAAUUUUGGGAGUGGAUUGUAAAUGAAACAUCAAGUGGCCCGUCGAUGAACGCUGUGAAGAAUGAAACACUUGAAGAAAUGUCCCAUUCAAUCCAAUCUCGAGUUCGAAUAAGUGACGAUAAAGAGCUCUAGAUUUCAUUGAAUGUGAAUGUGAUUAUCCAGACGAAAGAAGUUAACGCGCAAGGGAAUGCGAAAGGAAAGCAGCCUGCUUGAUUAGUAGAUAAUGAUCAAAUAGGUUUUUCCAUAAACUGUUGGAUGUAUAUGACUAAGUUAUGUAUCAACUCUUCUAAUAUUAAGUUAUGUACGAACUCUUCUAAUAUUAAGUUAUGUAUGAAAUCUUACAACUGCAUUUGUUUAUU
Molecule: long non-coding RNA, 1799 nt
Organism: Olea europaea var. sylvestris
Lineage: Eukaryota; Viridiplantae; Streptophyta; Magnoliopsida; Lamiales; Oleaceae
Exons: 2
Source: RefSeq, a predicted model, not a curated record